Molecule: ribosomal RNA, 2290 nt
Filed under: Knorella sp. GD104
Lineage: Eukaryota; Metazoa; Arthropoda; Arachnida; Trombidiformes; Eriophyidae
Description: partial small subunit ribosomal RNA
Rfam family: Eukaryotic small subunit ribosomal RNA
Source: RNAcentral
UGUAAAGUUCAAGCUCCACUUUGAGGGCGAAACCGCGAAUGGCUCAUUAAAUCAGUCAUAAUCUACUUGAUUGUUUAAAGUUUAUAUGGAUAACUGUGGUAAUUCUAGAGCUAAUACAUGCACAAAGGGGGCGACUCGAGCAAUCGAGAAGCUCUGCGUUUAUUAGACUAAGACCAAUGAUUGUGGCAACACAAUCUUAUUUAAGGUGACUCUGAGUAAAUAACGGGUGAAAGCCCGUGUUGCUGACCUGACAUCCCAAAAAGGCCCCUAAAAAGGUCUUGUCAGGCAAAUCAAUCGAGUGUCUGCUCUAUCAACUGUGGAUGGUAGGAUAAUUGCCUACCAUGGUGAUGACGGGUAACGGGGAGUUAGGGCUCGACUCCGGAGAACAAGCCUGAGAAACGGCUAGUAGGACUAAGGUCUGCAGCAGGCGCGAAACUUACACAAUGCUAGAUUACAGUUAGCGAUGUAGUGAAGAAAAAUAACGAUGUACUUCCAUCUAAACAUGGUAGUACAAUUGGAAUGAGACGACCCUAAACCAGUCAGUCGAGUAACAAAUGGAGGGCAAGUCUGGUGCCAGCAGCCGCGGUAAUUCCAGCUCCAUUAGCAUACAUUAAAGUUGUUGCGGUUAAAAAGCUCGUAGUUGAAUUUUAGGCGAGCUCUAUUGGGGUGCAACCGACAAGGUUUACGUGUGUGCCUUCCUCCGUGAAGCUCCCGUUAAACUGGUUGUUUACCUUCCUAUAGGAACUCGCUGUUUCGUCACUUAAUCGAGUGCGAAGCGGGCUGGUACAUGGGUUCAAAUUUCGAAUUUGCCCUGUUUCAGCAAGUUUACCUUGAGAAAAUUAGAGUGCUCACAGCAGGCAGUUGGGGUGUAAAAGCUCCUUUAUGCUUGAAUAAUGUUGCAUGGAAUAAUAGAAUACGGCCUCGGUUCUAUUCUGUUGGUCUUAUAGAACAACAAAUAAGUUGGUUAAAGCGACCAAAAGUCCGUUUGUGGAUGUGAUCUUAAGCGGGCUUUACUGGGUUCAGCUACCGAUGUUAUAUUGCCUCUGGCCUCAAAACCUCUGAGCUAUGCAUCUUGUUGACACCCAAUACAUGUUCCCUUUUGAUCAUUAAAGCAUCCCUUAUGUGGCUAGCUUUUUAAUCAACUGAGGCAAUGGUUAAAAGAAAUAGUCGCGGCGGCAUCAGUACUGUAUCGUGAGAGGUGAAAUUCUUAGACCGAUGCAAGACUAACUGAAGCGAAAGCGUUUGCCGAGGAUAUUUUCAUUAAUCAAGAACGAAAGUUAGAGGUUCGAAGGCGAUCAGAUACCGCCCUAGUUCUAACCAUAAACGUUGCCAACUAGCAAUUGGGUUGCGAUUCCUUUAAUCGGAGCCUUAAAACUCCGAUCAUUAUGAUCCACCCAGCGGCUCUCGUAGGGAAACCAAAGUGUUUGGGUUCCGGGGGAAGUAUGAUUGCAAAGUUGAAACUUAAAGGAAUUGACGGAAGGGCACCACCAGGAGUGGAGCCUGCGGCUUAAUUUGACUCAACACGGGGAAACUUACUAGAUUAGAACUCUGGAAUGAUUGACAGAUUGAUAGCUCUUUCUUGAUUCAGAGGAUGGUGGUGCAUGGCCGUUCUUGAUUCGUAUUCCGAAACGUCUGCUUAAUUGCGAUAACGAGUGAGACCUCACCCAACUAACUAGUCGUUUGGUGCGCUGUGGAACGCAAAAGUUCUUAGUUUAGUGUGCUUGUUGGCGCAGGCAACUGUUGUCAGCUGGUCGCUUUAUUAGGAAUGUUCUCUGCUCGCCAGCGGACUUCUUAGAGGGAUAAACGGUGUUUUAGCCGUAAGAAACGAGGCAAUAACAGGUCUGUGAUGCCCUUAGAUAUUCUAGGCCGCACGCGUGCUACAAUGGCGUGUGCAGAAAGCUUGUUCGAGGUUCGUCCAGAGAGAACUCUCUGUUUGGUUGGCGUUAGCUCGCAAGGGUUGGCGUUGGUCGGCAGGAAAGUGACUUUGGUUCUCGGGCCGAGAGAAACCGUAGCCGAAAGGUUACGGCAAUCAAAAAUACACGCCGUGAUUUGGGAUUGGGGAUUGCAAUUGUUGCCCAUGAACGAGGAAUUCCCAGUAAGCGCAAUUCAUCAUAUUGCGUUGAUUACGUCCCUGCCCUUUGUACACACCGCCCGUCGCUACUACCGAUUGGAAGUUUUAGUGAGGCAUUUGGACCUGUAGUCCAUGAAAGGGGCAACUCUUUCGGGACCGCGGGGAAGUCUGUCGAACUCAAAUUUCUAGAGGAAGUAAAAGUCGUAACAAGGUUUCCGU